GACGAACGCUGGCGGCGUGCCUAAUACAUGCAAGUCGAACGCAGUGGGGCCGGGUGAGUAACACGUGGGUAACCUCCCAUCAGAGGGGAUAACACUUGGAAACAGGUGCUAAACCGAUACUGAUGGAUGAACCCGGGGUGCAUUAGCUAGUUGGCGAGGUAACGGCUCACCAAGGCCACGAUGCGUAGCCGGCCUGAGAGGAGGAUCAGCCACACUGGAACUGAGACACGGCCCAGACUCCUACGGGAGGCAGCAGUAGGGAAUCUUCGACAAUGGGCGAAAGCCUGACCGAGCAACGCCGCGUGAGUGAAGAAGGUUUUCGGAUCGUAAAGCUCUGUUAUUAGGGAAGCGGUAUCUAAAGAAAAAGCAACGGCUAACUACGUGCCAGCAGCCGCGGUAAUAC
Molecule: ribosomal RNA, 403 nt
Filed under: uncultured bacterium
Lineage: Bacteria
Description: partial 16S ribosomal RNA
Rfam family: Bacterial small subunit ribosomal RNA
Source: RNAcentral